This 445-nucleotide ribosomal RNA is filed under the name uncultured bacterium. RNAcentral's name for it is "bacterial SSU rRNA". It matches the Rfam family "Bacterial small subunit ribosomal RNA", at positions 355 to 796 of the family's 1533-position model. The record is from RNAcentral.
ACGAGAAUAUUCGACAAUGGACGAAAGUCUGAUCGAGCGACGCCGCGUGAUGGAUGAAGACCCUCUGGGUCGUAAACAUCUUUUGUGAAGGAGAAAGCGCAAUCAUUUAUGUUUGCGUUGAUAGUACUUCAAGAAUAAGGGGUUGCUAAACUCGUGCCAGCAGCAGCGGUAAUACGAGUGCCCCAAGCGUUAUCCGGAAUCAUUGGGCGUAAAGGGUGUGUAGGUGGUUUAGUUAGUCUUCUGUUAAAACCUCGGGCUCAACCCGAGACUUGCAGUGGAAACGGCUAGACUUGAGAGUGCGAGAGGUGAAUGGAACUCAUGGAGUAGGGGUGAAAUCCGUUGAUAUCAUGGGGAACACCGAAAGCGAAGGCAAUUCACUGGCGCAUUUCUGACACUGAAACACGAAAGCGUGGGUAGCGAACGGGAUUAGAUACCCCCGUAGUCC